RNAcentral lists this unclassified non-coding RNA (391 nucleotides) under soil metagenome. Its description in RNAcentral is "partial contains 5.8S ribosomal RNA, internal transcribed spacer 2, and large subunit ribosomal RNA". The stretch from base 1 to 122 matches the Rfam family "5.8S ribosomal RNA", at positions 35 to 154 of the family's 154-position model. The record is from RNAcentral.
GAUGAAGAACGUAGCGAAAUGCGAUACUUGGUGUGAAUUGCAGAAUCCCGUGAACCAUCGAGUCUUUGAACGCAAGUUGCGCCCGAAGCCAUUAGGCCGAGGGCACGCCUGCCUGGGCGUCACACGUCGUUGCCCCCCCAUCUACUCCUUCGGGAUGGCGGGGGGCGGAUGAUGGCCUCCCGUGCGCCUCGUCGCGCGGUUGGCAUAAAUGCCAAGUCCUCGGCGACGCACGCCACGACAAUCGGUGGUUGCGAAACCUCGGUUGCCCGUCGUGUGCGGUCGUCGCGCAUCGAGGGCUCGAAAAAAUUGCCGGGCUUCGGCUCGACUUUCAACGCGACCCCAGGUCAGGCGGGGUUACCCGCUGAAUUUAAGCAUAUCAAUAAGCGGAGGA